This 431-nucleotide ribosomal RNA is filed under the name uncultured bacterium. RNAcentral describes it as "partial 16S ribosomal RNA". It matches the Rfam family "Bacterial small subunit ribosomal RNA", at positions 29 to 505 of the family's 1533-position model. The record is from RNAcentral.
AACGAACGCUGGCGGCAUGCCUAACACAUGCAAGUCGAACGAAGGCUUCGGCCUUAGUGGCGCACGGGUGCGUAACGCGUGGGAAUCUGCCCUUUGGUUCGGAAUAACAGCUGGAAACGGCCGCUAAUACCGGAUGAUGACGAAAGUCCAAAGAUUUAUCGCCAGAGGAUGAGCCCGCGUUGGAUUAGGUAGUUGGUGGGGUAAAGGCCUACCGAGCCGACGAUCCAUAGCUGGUCUGAGAGGAUGAUCAGCCACACUGGGACUGAGACACGGCCCAGACUCCUACGGGAGGCAGCAGUGGGGAAUAGUGGACAAUGGGCGCAAGCCUGAUCCAGCAAUGCCGCGUGAGUGAUGAAGGCCCGAGGGUUGUAAAGCUCUUUUACCCGGGAAGAUAAUGACUGUACCGGGAGAAUAAGCCCCGGCUAACUCCG